Molecule: ribosomal RNA, 1045 nt
Filed under: Pyricularia oryzae
Lineage: Eukaryota; Fungi; Ascomycota; Sordariomycetes; Magnaporthales; Pyriculariaceae
Description: SSU rRNA
Rfam family: Eukaryotic small subunit ribosomal RNA
Source: RNAcentral
CCUGGUUGAUUCUGCCAGUAGUCAUAUGCUUGUCUUAAAGAUUAAGCCAUGCAUGUCUAAGUAUAAGCAAUUAUACAGCGAAACUGCGAAUGGCUCAUUAAAUCAGUUAUCGUUUAUUUGAUAGUACCUUACUACAUGGAUAACCGUGGUAAUUCUAGAGCUAAUACAUGCUAAAAACCCCGACUUCGGAAGGGGUGUAUUUAUUAGAUUAAAAACCAAUGCCCUUCGGGGCUCACUGGUGAUUCAUGAUAACUUCUCGAAUCGCACGGCCUUGCGCCGGCGAUGGUUCAUUCAAAUUUCUGCCCUAUCAACUUUCGACGGCUGGGUCUUGGCCAGCCGUGGUGACAACGGGUAACGGAGGGUUAGGGCUCGACCCCGGAGAAAACGCCUGAGAAACGGCGUUUACAUCCAAGGAAGGCAGCAGGCGCGCAAAUUACCCAAUGCCGACACGGCGAGGUAGUGACGAGAAAUACUGAUACAGGGCUCUUUUGGGUCUUGUAAUUGGAAUGAGUACAAUUUAAAUCUCUUAACGAGGAACAAUUGGAGGGCAAGUCUGGUGCCAGCAGCCGCGGUAAUUCCAGCUCCAAUAGCGUAUAUUAAAGUUGUUGCAGUUAAAAAGCUCGGUAGUUGAACCUUGGGCCUGGCUGGCCGGUCCGCCUCACCGCGUGCACUGGUCCGGCCGGGCCUUUCCCUCUGGGGAACCGCAUGCCCUUCACUGGGCGUGUCGGGGAACCAGGACUUUUACUUUGAAAAAAUUAGAGUGUUCAAAGCAGGCCUAUGCUCGAAUACAUUAGCAUGGAAUAAUAGAAUAGGACGUGUGGUUCUAUUUUGUUGGUUUCUAGGACCGCCGUAAUGAUUAAUAGGGACAGUCGGGGGCAUCAGUAUUCAAUUGUCAGAGGUGAAAUUCUUGGAUUUAUUGAAGACUAACUACUGCGAAAGCAUUUGCCAAGGAUGUUUUCAUUAAUCAGGAACGAAAGUUAGGGGAUCGAAGAAGAUCAGAUACCGUCGUAGUCUUAACCAUAACUAUGCCGACUAGGGAUCGGAC